UACGAAGGGGGCAAGCGUUGUUCGGAAUUACUGGGCGUAAAGGGCGCGUAGGCGGCUUACCAAGUCAGGCGUGAAAUUCCCGGGCUCAACCUGGGGGCUGCGCUUGGUACUGGUGAGCUUGAAUGCGGGAGAGGAUAGUGGAAUUCCCAGUGUAGAGGUGAAAUUCGUAGAUAUCAAGCGGAACACCGGUGGCGAAGGCGGCCUUCUGGACAGUGACUGACGCUGAGACGCGAAAGCGUGGGGAGCAAACAGG
RNAcentral lists this ribosomal RNA (253 nucleotides) under uncultured bacterium. RNAcentral's name for it is "partial 16S ribosomal RNA". It matches the Rfam family "Bacterial small subunit ribosomal RNA", at positions 524 to 776 of the family's 1533-position model. The record is from RNAcentral.